GAGUCUAGCAUGUGCGCGAGUCAUUGGGACUCUAACGAAACCUAAAGGCGUAAUGAAAGUGAAGGUUCGCCUCGCGCGAACCGAGGGAGGAUGGACGGUCAUUACUGACCGCCCCGCACUCCCUGGGCGUCUCGUUCUCAUCGCGAGAAGAGGCGCACCAAGAGCGUACACGCUGGGACCCGAAAGAUGGUGAACUAUGCCUGGUCAGGACGAAGUCAGGGGAAACCCUGAUGGAGGUCCGUAGCGAUUCUGACGUGCAAAUCGAUCGUCGGAACUGGGUAUAGGGGCGAAAGACUAAUCGAACCAUCUAGUAGCUGGUUCCCUCCGAAGUUUCCCUCAGGAUAGCUGGCGCUCGCUUCUCGCGAGUCUCAUUCGGUAAAGCGAAUGAUUAGAGGCAUUGGGGUCGAAACGGCCUCAACCUAUUCUCAAACUUUAAAUGGGUGAGAUCUCCGGCUUGCUUGAACUAUGAAGCCGCGAGAUAUCGGAUCAGAGUGCCAAGUGGGCCACUUUUGGUAAGCAGAACUGGCGCUGUGGGAUGAACCAAACGCUGAGUUAAAGCGCCUAAAUCGACGCUUAUGGGAUACCAUGAAAGGCGUUGGUAACUUAAGACAGCAGGACGGUGGCCAUGGAAGUCGGA
RNAcentral lists this ribosomal RNA (637 nucleotides) under Novapus sp. NLG-2014. Its description in RNAcentral is "eukaryotic LSU rRNA". It matches the Rfam family "Eukaryotic large subunit ribosomal RNA", at positions 671 to 1265 of the family's 3401-position model. The record is from RNAcentral. Lineage: Eukaryota; Metazoa; Arthropoda; Insecta; Coleoptera; Scarabaeidae.